RNAcentral lists this ribosomal RNA (481 nucleotides) under uncultured bacterium. RNAcentral describes it as "partial 16S ribosomal RNA". It matches the Rfam family "Bacterial small subunit ribosomal RNA", at positions 28 to 507 of the family's 1533-position model. The record is from RNAcentral.
GACGAACGUUGGCGGCGUGCUUAAUACAUGCAAGUCAACUGAAGCAGUGGUAGCAAUAUCGCUGUGGAGGUGGCGCACGGGUGAGUAACACGUAGGUAAUCUGCCUUCAGGUCUGGCAUAACUCCGGGAAACCGGGGCUAAUAGCAGAUGAUGCAGCGGCUCGACAUCGAGACAGUUGCUAAAGCUAUGGCGCCUGAAGAUGAGCCUGCGUCUGAUUAGCUAGUUGGCGGGGUAACGGCCCACCAAGGCAACGAUCAGUAGCUGGUCUGAGAGGAUGAUCAGCCACACUGGAACUGAGACACGGUCCGGACUCCUACGGGAGGCAGCAGUAAGGAAUAUUGCUCAAUGGGAGAAAUCCUGAAGCAGCAACGCCGCGUGAGGGACGAAGGGCUUUUGCUUGUAAACCUCUGUAGUGAGAGAAAAAAAUCCCAAUCUUUGGGACAUGAUGGUAUCUCAAAAGUAAGCCCCGGCUAACUACGUG